This is a long non-coding RNA of Monomorium pharaonis (pharaoh ant), 5445 nucleotides long. RefSeq lists it as uncharacterized. The record is from RefSeq and is a predicted model, not a curated record. NCBI's taxonomy places the organism in Eukaryota, Metazoa, Arthropoda, Insecta, Hymenoptera, Formicidae. The transcript is spliced from 2 exons.
GAGAGAGAGAGAGAGGCCGGUCAGAAAAGAGAGAACGUGUACGGGAGGUAUACGCGGGAGCAUCUCCGCGGCGGGCGGGCGGGCUGUUUUCGCUGCGCGAGAUUGAAAUUAAAAUCGAUUAGCCUCGGGCGAAUAAUCCGUCAAGUUCUUCGCGUCGUCGGCGGUAUUCAAUUAAAUGGCCGCGAUCGAGAUCGAUGAAAAAUCUCAUCGAGGGAGGGCGAUGUUAUUCUCCACAAUGCUCGCGUGCGAUAGCGUCCGUACGACAUAUUUAAGGUUCGCACCCCUCGCGAUCGAAUCGAGGUGAACACAGUGAAAAAGAGUGUAAUAUUUGCGACUAUAAUUGCACAGUAAAAUAAUUACGGCCAGAGAUGUCAUUUUUAUAGCAAUAUAGUGAUUGUUUUAUAGAUUAUUUUAUAAUUUUAUAUUAUAAUAAUAUAACUUAUUAUAUUAAAAUCUCCAUUUUGAUUGUAGCAACCAUAUCAUAAAUUGCGUGAACUAUGAUUAUGAGAACUUUAAUGUAGUUUAAACAAAUUAUAAUUUAUAUUGUCGGAUAACUAUAAAAAAGUAUGAUUGAAACCAAAAAUGACUGACAAUUAUAGUAAUAUUAUAAUUAUUACAACUACUUUUUUCUCUCAGCUGCUGAGCUGACUUGAGAGGAGAACGAAACUCCAUUUACAUAUAUGUCAAUUCUUCUUUACUUUUCCCAUGUGUUUUGCGCGGGAAAUUUGUUUCAGACAAUUAUCUUAUUUGAUAAUAAUUGUAGCAAGUAGGUAUAUCUUUAAUGGACGUAUUAGCGUCUCGCUAUGAGACGCCUAUGAAUUACUGAAUGCUAAUUUUAAGGUUGUCGACGGCGGCUGAAAAUUACUUCUCGGUCCUUAUCUUAAAUAUCAAAUCCAAGUAUAACGACGGCACUUCAUUUCUAUGUUAAGCGUCGAUACUCAUCGCUAGUACGACGGCUUCCGACGAUCCGCGCGGUCGUGCUAUAUAUGAAUUUUUUUUCUUUCGCAUGGCUUACGACGAUUACAAAUGCGGAAAUUAUCGUCUUACACGGCGUUACACCUCGCCUCGAACGACCGCGGUAUGGAAACGUGAGAAAUCCAACGGCUAAUAAGACGCCCGACGUCGCUUAUCUACCGAGCCGUAAAAUAAUCUGUAUUAUAUUAACGAGAUAAAUAAUCGUCACCGGGAGAGCGCCGCGGUAUAUUCGCCUCGCGGAGAAAAAGGAGGAGGAGGAGGAAGAGAACGAGCGUAAGGUACAAACCGCAGGUAUACAAACUGGUCGGACGAAGCUGGAGCGAGGGAGAGGAAUCUCAUGAGACUAACGACGCCCGAUGACUCUCGAUAUCCCCGUUAAAACGGCUCCUAUAUCCGAAGCCAUCGAAGCCGGUUUACGGCGCGUCCGAAUCGAACUUUUGCGAUUGCACGCGGCGCGGCCGUAAUCGUUACGUAGGGACAUAGCGCCGGUCUAACCAGUCCCGAUAAGAUCUUUCCCAGGCUAAAUAUAACGUCGCACCGGCUAAAUCCGUAUCGCGCGGAGGAACACGUCGAUCGGAACACGCGGAACGUAACCGAGUGGCGCGUGCAAGUUCAAAUGAUUUCUCGAACGAAUCGCGGAGGUGCGCUGCUCCCGACGGAAAUGGAACGGCAUAAUUUUAGAGACUCGGUUUGGGCAAUCCAAAUGUUUAACGGCAAUUUAAAUUUUUAGAUUCUCAAUUUGCAGUUCGAGUGAUUCUAAGUAGCUUCAAUUCGGAACGACAUUUAAAAGCAGCAAUUUGUUCAAACGCAUUAAAAUUUCUAACAGACCUUUGAGAGAACUCGCCGUUCAUCAAAGGGCAUCGUGCGACUCGUAUUUAUAUCAGGUCUAACCGCGCUACCUGCGGAUCGUUUUGUCGCCGAUGGUGUCGAUUAUUCCGCUCGAUCGAUUCGGGAGCAUACCCGUGAUAAUAAACCAAGUCAAGGUAGUCAAUGCUACAGCGAUAUAUCCCAUGCUCCACAUACUUUACACGGCGGGAGGAAGAGGAGAUCGGAGCGUUCCGACCCAUGGGGUUGGGAUCGUUCCGAGUACACAAUCCGCGAGGCUGGUAACACGAAGGAGCGAGAAGAGAGAGAGAGAGAGAGAGAAAGAGAGAACCUCGAGAUUUGUGUCAGGGUGUCUUGCAAGAGAGAGUUACGGGCGAUGAGGUGCACGCGAGUACAUCAAUAUUACGCGCAUUGAUCCGAUAAGCGAGCGGCCUAAGGAGGAUCUCUCCUAUCGGCCCAAAGCGCCGCGGACUAACGGUAUUCGCCCCGCCGGCCGCUAAACACGAGAAGUCAAUUAUUUUCCUCGCAACAUUAUCUUGCGACCUUUAUCGGCCGAGAAUUACAAUCGCGGCCGAUAGAUUCCGUCGCGGAAUACGCACACGUGCCUCCGAAGAGCACGUUGUCUUUGCGCGUGGGAAUAUCAUUUCCCGUGUGUGUGUGUCGGAUCUCGGUAUGAGAAACGACUCACGUGCAAUUAUUCGAUGCAAAUAAAUUUGCGCGCGAUUUCGCGAGGCGAUCGAUUCAUCGUUACCGCGCGGAUAUCGCACACAUUCUAACACACAUGAGCUCGAGCUCAUAUAAGCCAGCCCGUUAGAUGUUAUCAGCCCGCGAGAUACAACGAGGACGGGAGAAAGGAGAGAGUGGGAAAGAUGCCGUCGGUUCGUGCCGUUAUAUCAAAUCCAGGUCGUUAUACGUGCCUCUAAAACACUUCCACAUUGGGAGCGCUCCUUAAACUGCAUUUUCGUCUUUCUCACGGCACCUUCGUCAAAUAAUCAUUAAUACUAAAACAGUUUUUAAAUCUCCACUGCUCUCAUUCGACAAACACAUUUUCCAAAUCUUCAAUAACAGUUGUACUAAACGAAUAAUGUGUUAAUGUGUUAAUAAAAAAAAAUAACACCAUACAAAUAUAAUUUAUAUAAAAGAUUGGAAGUAAAAAGUAAAAAAGUUUUAGAGUAAACUUUUAUGUCACAUCUACACAAUUACAAUAAAUUAAAUUAAUAAACCGAGCUUCAUAUACGAGAGUAAUGGAAAAUUAAAAUCUAGAACUGUCAAACACAUUAUACAAACGUAGAACAUUACGCAUUAAAAUUAAAAUAAUGACACCAAACACAUAUGCUUAAAAAUUUUUUUAAUGAAUGAAAUUUUAUAUUAUAAAUUUCCAGACAUUUUUCUAAUUUUAUAUUAUGUGUUUUCUUCUGCAAAAGAAAAGUCCAGUAGCUUUGUUGUGAUAUCAAAAUUCCGCCACGUAAUUCACGAAGACCGGAAGACGCGAUGCCAUAGCACGGUUACCACCUCGUUAAUUACGAGACGAGGACAAUCACGCAAUUGGAUCUCAUUGUCUAAUUACAACAAAGUUACGAUGAGAAACGUGGUGGAUUGUCAUCGUCGUCGUCGUCGUCGUCGUCAUCUCUAGGGGCGGAUCUCAGUUCAUUAACCAGACGGCGUAAGAAAGAAAGAAAGACGCCGUGCACAGAGAGAUCGACGGCGAUAAGUGCACACCGCUGGUCGUGAACACUUACCGCGGGUAAACAAAGUUUUUCCAACGCCGGGGAUUUCCAUUUGGUAUCAGCCACGCAAUUAAUACCGAAGACAAAGGAUACCAAAAGUGAAUAUCGUAAACAUGCUUCUUGUGCCGAAGUUCCCCCCUCCUCACGUUGAAUCUUCUUUUUCUCGUCGAGAUUGCAGCUCCGCGGGGCAGCGUGGUAAAUAACAAAAAGUUAAUAUUGCACGGCGCAGGAGAGAGAGCCGAGUUUCAUUGGAAUCGGAAUAUUACGACGGGGGAACAUAUACGUAUGGAACUCCCGGCGAGGUCACCGGCGGGUGACGUCACUCACGGAUGAUCACCGUCUUCACGGCAGAAGACGCGACCUUGAGGUGUCUUCGCGCUUCUUCGAUCGUAGCGAGCCAGCUUAACGAUCCAUCGAUCGCUUUCGAUCGCAGCCGAGCGGCCUCUGAAGUUGGGCCGGUUUGAUCGGUCGGUUCGCGUCCGCGAACGAAAUUAUCACUUUCCGACGGUUAUUAAUUUCUGCGCGUUAGUGCACGAAAUUACAGUUGUCUGUACCCCGUAAUGUGUUAAUCUCUAUGCUAAUGGCGCAAUUCGAUGUGCGUAAUAACGUUUCUUUCCUAGUGCGCGCGUGCAAGUUAAUGGAUUCAAGCGCCGAUCGAGCAAAACGUCCGUAUAGUUUACUCUCCCGGGGGACACUGGAUACUUUUAAUAUCAAUAUCAAACGGCGCGAGACGCGCCGAUGCAUCGCGUUAAUCUUCGUGACGUGCCGUGCAAUUAAUCUGUAAACGAAACGCUUAGCGUUUUAAAAGCCGAGCCUGCACUCGAAUUCACGUGUCCACGUUGAUUAAUUAAAUCUCUGGCCCCUUUAAAAUUAACCAUUCAAAAAGCUCGGCAAGAAAUAUCGAUCGAGGCUCGAAUUUUCAUAUCAGGAAAGUGUCACCGACACACUUCAGAUUAAUAGCUUACGUUACAUGUAACGACGACAUCACCAUGUUCCGCCGUACAUGUUGUGACAAACGUGCGUUCAAUACGAUGAUGAAGGAGGUCGAUUUCGCGAUCGCACGUGGAAUAAAUGAAAAUCGAUUAGUUCUGCCUGCACAUCCGGUAUCAUUACUACGAGUGCACCGCCAUCCGAUAACGUCCGUCUUCUUGGCACGCGUCUCACUGUCGGCCAAGUGUAAUAUCGCUAUCCGUGGUCCGCUUAUCGUGGAUCAUCGAUAGUUCGCUUAAUCACUCGUCGCGAGUCUUGACGAAAUUCUAUUCUCAGAUCGACUUAAGUCGACGUUUUCCAUUCUUAUCGAUUUGACACGCGAAAGUUAAUCGCGCCGGUGGCGAUUAACGAAUUAACGAGCGAAGGUUACUUGUACUCUACGUACCGUUAUUACCAACGCCGCUCAUACGCAUAUAAACACUUAGCAUCGAGGGCAAGACGCGAGCUUAGCGAGAGAUUUAUCGAUCAUUAUCAAUGUAAUUCCAUUAUACGCGAGUUAUCGUAAAACCGAAGAAUUUCUCGUACUCUCGGGUUCGUUCGCGUCAUCGUGAUUACGCAUCAUCGUAACAACCUGGAAUUCCUCCAUUUACAGCUGCUAUCAAUAAUAAUAAUUUCUCUCUCUCGCGCGCGCGGUGGAUAUAAAUAGAUUUGCAUUAUUAGAUGUUAGCUCGCUGCUGUGGCGAUAAUGGCGAUUCUCCACGAUUGGAACCAUUACUUUAUUAGGCGCUUAAUUACUUCGUUAGUUCUGCGACGUAUUAUCGUAAAAAGUAUUCGUCACAUAGGCAUCUGCGUGUAAGCGAAUGAAAAACAAAGCCUGCGAUUACGUUUUAAAAUAAAUUCCGUACUCGAUAAAUUAGGUAUGCGUCACUCGAACGUCAUGCUGUUACGAAAUUAAUUUCAUUGAAACAAUAAAUCACUCUUGAUUGUC